CCGGGUUGCGGACAGUGUCUGGUGGGUAGUUUGACUGGGGCGGUCUCCUCCCAAAGAGUAACGGAGGAGCACGAAGGUUGGCUAAUCCUGGUCGGACAUCAGGAGGUUAGUGCAAUGGCAUAAGCCAGCUUGACUGCGAGCGUGACGGCGCGAGCAGGUGCGAAAGCAGGUCAUAGUGAUCCGGUGGUUCUGAAUGGAAGGGCCAUCGCUCAACGGAUAAAAGGUACUCCGGGGAUAACAGGCUGAUACCGCCCAAGAGUUCAUAUCGACGGCGGUGUUUGGCACCUCGAUGUCGGCUCAUCACAUCCUGGGGCUGAAGUAGGUCCCAAGGGUAUGGCUGUUCGCCAUUUAAAGUGGUACGCGAGCUGGGUUUAGAACGUCGUGAGACAGUUCGGUCCCUAUCUGCCGUGGGCGCUGGAGAAUUGAGGGGGGCUGCUCCUAGUACGAGAGGACCGGAGUGGACGCAUCACUGGUGUUCGGGUUGUCAUGCCAAUGGCACUGCCCGGUAGCUAAAUGCGGAAGAGAUAAGUGCUGAAAGCAUCUAAGCACGAAACUUGCCCCGAGAUGAGUUCUCCCUGAGACCUUGAGUCUCCUGAAGGAACGUUAAAGACGAUGACGUUGAUAGGUCGGGUGUGUAAGCGCAGCGAUGCGUUGAGCUAACCGAUACUAAUGAACCGUGAGGCUUAACCUUACAACGCCGAAGGUGUUU
RNAcentral lists this ribosomal RNA (709 nucleotides) under Enterobacter hormaechei. RNAcentral's name for it is "partial 23S ribosomal RNA". It matches the Rfam family "Bacterial large subunit ribosomal RNA", at positions 2240 to 2925 of the family's 2925-position model. RNAcentral also lists the same sequence under 1 other name. The record is from RNAcentral. Lineage: Bacteria; Pseudomonadati; Pseudomonadota; Gammaproteobacteria; Enterobacterales; Enterobacteriaceae.